Molecule: ribosomal RNA, 116 nt
Filed under: Bacillus subtilis
Lineage: Bacteria; Bacillati; Bacillota; Bacilli; Caryophanales; Bacillaceae
Also listed under: 1 other name
Source: RNAcentral
UCUGGUGGCGAUAGCGAAGAGGUCACACCCGUUCCCAUACCGAACACGGAAGUUAAGCUCUUCAGCGCCGAUGGUAGUCGGGGGUUUCCCCCUGUGAGAGUAGGACGCCGCCAAGC